GCUCAGCCUCUAGCCUCACCCCACAGCAAUCAACCCACUUAUCUCUUUAUCCAACCUUAAAACAUUCUUACAAUUUAGUAAAGGCGAUAAAAAAAUUUUUUAGCGCAAUAAAAAAGUACCGUAAGGGAAAGAUGAAAUAAAACUGAAAUAAUUUUAAGCAUAAAAAAGUAGAGCUUUCCCCUCGUACCUUUUGCAUCAUGAUUUAACUAGUAUAUUUAGGCAAAAAGAUUUUUAGUCUAAACCCCCGAAUCUAGGCGAGCUAUUUUAAGACAGCUUUACGAGCCCACCCGUCUCUGUUGCAAAAGAGUGGGAAGAUCUUACUAUAGCGGUGACAGACCUAACGAGCCUAGUGAUAGCUGGUUGCUUAAUAAAAGGAUUUUAGUCCAACUUAAAGUUAUUUAUAAUACUUACAAAACUCAACUUUAAAGUCAUUCAAAUAAGGUUCAGCCUAUUUGAAACAGGAUACAACCUCUCCCACUGGGUUCUCACAUUUCAUUAAAAAUAAGUAGGCUUAAAAGCAGCCACCUUGAAUAAAAGCGUCAUAGCUUCCUCUUUCCAUAAUUUAAUUCCUAAAGAUUUCCCCAACCCCUCAUCUCUAAUAAGCAACUCUAUACCACUAUAGAAGAUUUUAUGUUAAAACUAGUAACAAGAAGAAGCCCUUCUCUUAAAUGCGUAUGUAAAUCAGCACGACAACCCACUGAUAAUUAACGCCCUUAAAUUCAAAGUAGUAACUCUUCAAGAAAAACUUUCUACUAAUAACGUUAACCUAACACAAGAGCACUCUAAGAAAGAUUUAAAGAUAAAGAAGGAACUCGGCAAACAUUAGCUUCGCCUGUUUACCAAAAACAUCGCCUCCUGCUCAAUUAUAAGAGGUCAAGCCUGCCCAGUGACAUUGUUCAACGGCCGCGGUAUCCUAACCGUGCGAAGGUAGCGUAAUCACUUGUUCUUUAAAUGAGGACUAGUAUGAAUGGCCCCACGAAAGCUAUACUGUCUCCUUUAUCCAAUCAGUAAAACUAAUCUCCCCGUGAAGAAGCGGGGAUACACAUAUAAGACGAGAAGACCCUAUGGAGCUUCAGAUAUUCUAGACAUUUGAACAUAAUAUUACACUUUCCGAAAAAUUCUUAAAACAUAUCAUUUUGUCCUAAAUCUUGGGUUGGGGUGACCACGGAGAAAAAACCAACCUCCACGUGGAAUAGAAGUUCUUCUUCUAAGCGAAAAAUCACACCUUUACGCAUCAAUAUAUUGACCUAAAUUGACCCAAUUAUUUGAUCAACGAACCAAGUUACCCUAGGGAUAACAGCGCAAUCCGCCUUAAGAGCUCUUAUCGACAGGCGGGUUUACGACCUCGAUGUUGGAUCAGGGUAUCCCAGUGGUGCAGCAGCUACUAACGGUUCGUUUGUUCAACGAUUAAAACCCUACGUGAUCUGAGUUCAGACCGGAGUAAUCCAGGUCAGUUUCUAUCUAUAAAGAGUUUUUUCUAGUACGAAAGGAUCGAAAAAACAUGGCCAAUGUUCAAUACACACCAUCUAUUCUCAACUUAUGCUAAAAACUUAAUUACUAAGAGCCUAUCACCUACCUUAAGAUCAAAGAUUCUA
Molecule: ribosomal RNA, 1595 nt
Filed under: Allobates talamancae (Talamanca rocket frog)
Lineage: Eukaryota; Metazoa; Chordata; Amphibia; Anura; Aromobatidae
Description: 16S ribosomal RNA
Rfam family: Bacterial large subunit ribosomal RNA
Source: RNAcentral